UCCAGACUCCUACGGGAGGCAGCAGUGGGGAAUAUUGCACAAUGGGGGAAACCCUGAUGCAGCAACGCCGCGUGAGUGAGGAAGUAUUUCGGUAUGUAAAGCUCUAUCAGCAGGGAAGAAGAAAGACGGUACCUGACUAAGAAGCCCCGGCUAACUACGUGCCAGCAGCCGCGGUAAUACGUAGGUGGCAAGCGUUGUUCGGAAUAACUGGGCGUAAAGGAUGCGUAGGCGGUUAAACAAGUUAUAUGUUAAAUAUAUAGGCUUAACCUGUAGAAAGCAUAUAAAACUGUUUAACUAGAGUGCAGGAGAGGUAAGUGGAAUUCCUAGUGUAGCGGUGAAAUGCGUAGAGAUUAGGAAGAACACCAGUGGCGAAGGCGACUUACUGGACUGUAACUGACGCUGAGGCAUGAGAGCAUGGGGAGCAGACAGGAUUAGAUACCCCAGUAC
RNAcentral lists this ribosomal RNA (447 nucleotides) under uncultured bacterium. RNAcentral describes it as "bacterial SSU rRNA". It matches the Rfam family "Bacterial small subunit ribosomal RNA", at positions 330 to 793 of the family's 1533-position model. The record is from RNAcentral.